RNAcentral lists this long non-coding RNA (1029 nucleotides) under Mytilus galloprovincialis (Mediterranean mussel). Lineage: Eukaryota; Metazoa; Mollusca; Bivalvia; Mytilida; Mytilidae. The record is from RNAcentral.
UUCCUGGAUUUACUGACAAAAUAUGUAGCACAGGUAACUAUAACGCAGCAUCACUGUCAUCACGUAUCCCAUUGUCUCAUUACCAUAGAUUCUAAAAUCAAUUCAAACAAAAAAAUGUUGUCUUACUAAUUUUUAUCUCCACUUUCUUAUAUUGCUUAUCUGAUUAAUGCUACAAAUUAAAAAAAAUGUUGUGUAUAAGUGCCUAGUUUCCCUAGAUCAAUGUGUGAGAGCUAAACCUGUUGAUUAUGAUAACAUUAAUUAGUGUUUAUAAAUCCGGCUUAAGGACGUUCGCUGCUCAGUAUCAAAAUAAAUUGAUUUCCAUGACACAAGUAUAUAUUUAAGUGGUUUAAAUAAAGUAGUAUACCGCUGUUCAAAACUCGUAAAUCUAUGGACAAACAACAAAAUCGGGAUAACAAUCUAAAACUGAGGGAAACGCAUUAAAUAAUUGAGGAAUAAAAAAAGCAAAUAAGAUAUAGGUGUCAAUGUUCUUGUUUUCGAGAUAUUAGCCAUUGAAAUUUUGUCGGGAAAAUGUUCUCUCUUGAUUUUACAUAGCUUUAUCAUUGACUAGUAAAAGUUCUCAAAAAGUAUUAAACAAUAAAUAAGAUUUUAUAAGAAUUUCACAAAUGGCUUAUAAUUAACCAUGUAAAAAUUAAUAAAAAGAGAAACGGGGGUUCAUGGGGAAAAUUUGUUAGACAUUCAAAUUGAUAAAACCAGAGGAUUUCGAAAAUCUGACAAAAAGUCAAAAUUAUGACAAUUAAACAUGAUUAAUGUUCAUUUCAGAUAUCGAUGACUGCUUAUCUAACCCAUGUGAACAUGACGGAAUCUGUAUUGAUCGGGUCAAUAAUUUUCAAUGCAUAUGUCCUCUUGGAUUUACUGGAAAAAACUGUAGCACAGGUAACUUUUAGACAGAUUUUAAGUUUUAAUUUAACUACCAUGCGGCAUAUCUGCAUCAAAAACAAUUUGUUUAGUAUGUUGUCAUUUUUAAAAACACCUUUAUCUGCUUUCAUACUACAGUUUACAAACUGCAAU